GACGAACGCUGGCGGCGUGCUUAACACAUGCAAGUCGAGCGGUAAGGCCCUUUCGGGGGUACGACGAGCGGCGAACGGGUGAGUAACACGUGGGUGACCUGCCCUCAGCUCUGGGAUAAAGCCUGGGAAACCGGGUACUAAUACUGGAUAUGACUCCAUGACGCAUGUUGUGGGGUGGAAAGCCUUGUGCGGCUGAGGAUGGGCCCGCGGCCUAUCAGCUUGUUGGUGGGGUGANGGCCUACCAAGGCGACGACGGGUAGCCGGCCUGAGAGGGCGACCGGCCACACUGGGACUGAGACACGGCCCAGACUCCUACGGGAGGCAGCAGU
RNAcentral lists this ribosomal RNA (329 nucleotides) under uncultured bacterium. Its description in RNAcentral is "bacterial SSU rRNA". It matches the Rfam family "Bacterial small subunit ribosomal RNA", at positions 28 to 355 of the family's 1533-position model. The record is from RNAcentral.